GGGUUGUGAGGUUAAGCGACUAAGCGUACACGGUGGAUGCCCUGGCAGUCAGAGGCGAUGAAGGACGUGCUAAUCUGCGAUAAGCGUCGGUAAGGUGAUAUGAACCGUUAUAACCGGCGAUUUCCGAAUGGGGAAACCCAGUGUGAUUCGUCACACUAUCAUUAACUGAAUCCAUAGGUUAAUGAGGCGAACCGGGGGAACUGAAACAUCUAAGUACCCCGAGGAAAAGAAAUCAACCGAGAUUCCCCCAGUAGCGGCGAGCGAACGGGGAGCAGCCCAGAGCCUGAAUCAGUGUGUGUGUUAGUGGAAGCGUCUGGAAAGGCGCGCGAUACAGGGUGACAGCCCCGUACACAAAAAUGCACAUGCUGUGAGCUCGAUGAGUAGGGCGGGACACGUGGUAUCCUGUCUGAAUAUGGGGGGACCAUCCUCCAAGGCUAAAUACUCCUGACUGACCGAUAGUGAACCAGUACCGUGAGGGAAAGGCGAAAAGAACCCCGGCGAGGGGAGUGAAAAAGAACCUGAAACCGUGUAC
Molecule: ribosomal RNA, 532 nt
Filed under: Escherichia sp. E1130
Lineage: Bacteria; Pseudomonadati; Pseudomonadota; Gammaproteobacteria; Enterobacterales; Enterobacteriaceae
Description: partial 23S ribosomal RNA
Rfam family: Bacterial large subunit ribosomal RNA
Source: RNAcentral